GACGAACGCUGGCGGCGUGCUUAACACACGCAAGUCGAACGGAAAGGCCCUGCUUUUGUGGGGUGCUCGAGUGGCGAACGGGUGAGUAACACGUGAGUAACCUGCCCUUGACUUUGGGAUAACUUCAGGAAACUGGGGCUAAUACCGGAUAGGAGCUCCUGCUGCAUGGUGGGGGUUGGAAAGUUUCGGCGGUUGGGGAUGGACUCGCGGCUUAUCAGCUUGUUGGUGGGGUAGUGGCUUACCAAGGCUUUGACGGGUAGCCGGCCUGAGAGGGUGACCGGCCACAUUGGGACUGAGAUACGGCCCAGACUCCUACGGGAGGCAGCAGUGGGGAAUAUUGCACAAUGGGCGGAUGCCUGAUGCAGCAACGCCGCGUGCGGGAUGACGGCCUUCGGGUUGUAAACCGCUUUCGCCUGUGACGAAGCGUGAGUGACGGUAAUGGGUAAAGAAGCACCGGCUAACUACGUG
RNAcentral lists this ribosomal RNA (468 nucleotides) under uncultured bacterium. Its description in RNAcentral is "partial 16S ribosomal RNA". It matches the Rfam family "Bacterial small subunit ribosomal RNA", at positions 28 to 507 of the family's 1533-position model. The record is from RNAcentral.